This is a long non-coding RNA of Thamnophis elegans (Western terrestrial garter snake), 1454 nucleotides long. RefSeq lists it as uncharacterized. The transcript is spliced from 3 exons. NCBI's taxonomy places the organism in Eukaryota, Metazoa, Chordata, Lepidosauria, Squamata, Natricidae. The record is from RefSeq and is a predicted model, not a curated record.
GACCCCCUUCUCAGAGAUCUUCUCCUAAAGAACUUCAAGCAGCCUAGAGUGUAACACAUCUGAAGAACAUCAGCCUUCAGCCAUGAAGACCCUUUUCCUUUUGUUUGCUGCUCUCUUGUUCUUCAGUCAAAUUAUUUCAGGAAGUUCUCAGACUGCCCCUGAUACCUUAGAAUGCAGGAGGAGUCACCAUGGAUUCUGUAAAUCCCGCUGUCCUCCGCACACUAUACCUACUGGAGGGAGCUGCCAGUGGGGAAGCCUGAUUUGCUGUAAAUCUCCUUAUAGGCAGAGAAAGUGAUAAUCGACCCAAAGGAAGACUUCUGGAUUCUAGAGAAAUACAUGCCGGCUUUGGAAAUUGGUGGCUUUGACUUCGAAGUCAAGAAUAAAGAGUCAUUUGUUUGGACUAUAAACAGACAUAAUGUUCUGCAAAGAAAUUCACACUCCUCUCUGCCCUUGCCUCCCCUUUUACACUUAUUCAUUUUUUGACUUAAGGGCAAGUUUCAGAAAAUAUUAAGUAACCAGCUAGAGUUCUCAACACAGAAUUUUGGAAAUGAAAGUUAAUUGUAAAUUAAGAAAUAAUUAGGUUGAAAUAAUAGGCUGAAUGUCAAAAAGCUGUUUAUGGAUAUUUUAAAGAAAGGGAGGGAAAAAGGAAGGGAAAAGAAAGCUUUAUUUGCUUUUCUGAAAUUCUGUGGAAAAAAUUUAUAUUUUUACUUACAAAAGGUAAAUUACAGAGCUAGUAUAAUCUAUUUCCUUGUGAUAUGCAUGAAAAUAUCACAUUUAAAGACUUGCACAAUUAUGCACCUUCUGCUUCCGUUGCAUAUAUUUGGAUCUUGUGCCUUCCAGCUUUUUUCCACUCAAAAGUUUUUUUCAAUUAUCAACUCUCUUUCAAAAAGUUUUUUUUUAAAGAGAAAGAUAAAAAUGAAUACAAACUAAUUUCAAGUAAGAAAAAAAGGAAAAAUAAAUAAAUAAAAAGAAAAACUAAAAGUGCAAGAAAGGAAUAAGAACUAAAAUAGAAAUGAUGGAAAAGAGAAACAAAAGAGGAGCUUCCAAUCCUCUUUACAGCAGUUACAAGUACAAUUAUAUAAUUGCCUCUUACAAUAUGGUUACAACAUGUCUCUCUUCUUUGUAGAAUCUAUCAUUUAAUCAUCAAACCCAUAAAUUGUUCAUUUUCUCUGUUUCAUGCAAAAAGUUCAUAAGGAAUCUCCAAUCAGUAAUAAAUGUGGAUAUUGUCUUUUCUCUGAUCAAAGAAGUCAUUUUUCUCCCAAAAGCCGAGUAAAUUUUGAAGUCUGCAAUUUCAGGAAUGCUCAUUUUAGGAAAAUCACCCAUGAGAGUUUGAACAUUAAAAAAAAAUACUUUAUGCAUUUGCACUGAGUGGUAUCACCUUUUUUCUAUCAAUAUACCUUAGUGUUAUAAAAUGUUACUAACAAACUCAAAUAAAAUACAGAUCUUAAAGCAAA